AUACGGAGGAUCCAAGCGUUAUCCGGAUUUAUUGGGUUUAAAGGGUGCGUAGGAGGCCUAUUAAGUCAGGGGUGAAAGACGGUAGCUCAACUAUCGCAGUGCCCUUGAUACUGAUGGGCUUGAAUACACUAGAGGUAGGCGGAAUGUGACAAGUAGCGGUGAAAUGCAUAGAUAUGUCACAGAACACCGAUUGCGAAGGCAGCUUACUAUGGUGUUAUUGACGCUGAGGCACGAAAGCGUGGGGAUC
RNAcentral lists this ribosomal RNA (247 nucleotides) under uncultured bacterium. RNAcentral describes it as "partial 16S ribosomal RNA". It matches the Rfam family "Bacterial small subunit ribosomal RNA", at positions 523 to 769 of the family's 1533-position model. The record is from RNAcentral.